Molecule: long non-coding RNA, 3692 nt
Organism: Canis lupus familiaris (dog)
Lineage: Eukaryota; Metazoa; Chordata; Mammalia; Carnivora; Canidae
Exons: 9
Source: RefSeq, a predicted model, not a curated record
UCCACUGUUUGGGCAACAGCUAGUACAAUUCACUUGCCUAAGUUGGAAUUCUAUCACACAGGAGGCAGUGUCUUAUGCUUGCCUGCGUUCUUCAAAUCUGUCAUCUACUUAAGAUCUUCUGACCCUUAUAGAGAAUUCUGGUCUUCACUGGAAAGAGAACAUGGAAGCAAAACAUUCACUUUCAGACUUCUGAGGAACAUGCCCAUGGAAGAACCUUGCAUGCCUUGACUCCCUCUCACUGGAAUUCUUGAAAAUUCCCAAGUGAGAAUGUGGCAUCUAUUCAGUAGUAACAGGACUUCUUCGUGUGGUCAAGUCAGCUGUCACUGUUUUCCGUACUGAGCACUGGCUUACAGCAGUUAAGACUGUCUCUUUACCAAAUUCUCCUUCUUUGAUAUACUGAAAGUGUUACCUGAGAUCCUGGAUCACCUUUUUCUCCCUUUGCCCCAGGAAAUCCAUGAAUGCCCUAAAAGAAGUCAAGGAAAACAAAAUUCCCAUUUAAAGAGAAGUACAUCAACCUCGUGACCAUGUUAUAGUGCCUUAAAGAUGGCUUACCUCUUCCCCAUCCAGUCCAUCAAUCCCAUCCUCUCCAUGUUCUCCCUGAGGGACAAUAAGGAGUGCAGUCAGGUCAGAGGAGGUCUCUGCCACACGCUUACUGGGAAACUAAUUCCAUCAGGAAAUCAAAUUGGACUGAGAAGACACUACAGUACCUUACUUCCAGAAAAUCCUUUGGCUCCCUGUAAAAGAUCAAAUGUCUCUCACUGACACAUCAAAGACAGACAGCAGGUAGACUCACGGAGUGUUGGAGCAGGAAGCAGCUGCCUCCCUAAAGAGGUGCUUCUGGCUCUCCAACCACAAAGAAGUGAUAGGUGGGAUUGAAUGAAUGCUCCAAACUCAUUGAGAUGUCUAAGAAGCAGAAUUAGUCCGCAGGAGAAGACACUGACAUGUAAUUGGAGAAAGACAAAGGGAGGCUGGGGAUGGAAGAGAGAAAAGGAGGGAGGGAAGGAGGAAGGACAGGAAGGAGGAGAAAAGCAGAUCAUGUUGUAGGGAAUUAAAAAUCACAUUUCUAGCAGAGACUUACCUUUUGACCCUGCUCUCCUGGACAUCCUGCAGUCCCGCUAUCUCCUGUGGGUCCAAUAUCUCCUCGUCUUCCCUAAAAAAAGGCACCCAGACAGAUAUCCAAAGUGACUCUUUUGCCAGAAGUCACCAGCAGUUUAUUUUUUAAGAGUAAAGCUAGAGCACAGGAGCACUCUGGGCUUCACACAAAGCAAAUCCUUCCCCAAAUGCUUUCCUUUAACUCUGGUUUUCCCCUCUAUGCUAACAUCUUCCCUGUUGCCCUUCGGGGCUUCCUUACAGACCCAAGAUGACACAGGAGUGCAGGAUGAGCCCAGGUGCUUCCCGGUCCUCAUCAGCACAGCCAAAGGUUUGGAAGUCGCUUCACCUGCCAGCCACCUUUCAAACACUCCAGUAAUACAUGUUGGCGCUGACGUUGUGCCCAGGGAGCCAGUGCUGCCCUGGAAAAGUCAUUAGUGCUGAUGGUACUGAAGCAAGCUGGUCCCAGGGGACUGGAGCUGAGUAGAAGCAGUUGAUGGGCUGGGCUACUGCUAUAAGAACUCGAAGAUAGGAAGUGCUAGUGAUCAUGGAAAGGACCACCAGGUGAAAAAGCCCCCAAAUCAGACCAGCCACUGGGAGAAGAGCGCUCAAGGUCAAUGAUGUGUACACCUCCCAUCAAUCCUUUUUCUCCCAGGAAAUAUUUAAACACAGAUUAUUCCCGGGAAAGCAGGAGGCCUCCCUUGUGGCCAUAGGUCACUGAGAGGUACCAAUACAUCAUGGCUUCCCGUUGACUGGACUGUCCGCCAGAUGCGUGCUCAUGGCCAGAUACCCACACUUGAAGCCCUCCAUGCUGCCUGGGUGAGCUCUAAGACCCCUCUACAGACCCAUGGUGAGUGGUUCAAUUUCACUCAUUGCUGAUGAAGUACAAUCUUCUCCAUUAUUUCUAAUACCGCCUGCACCCUUCAAACUGUUUAAAGCAGGUGUGAAAGUAUAAAUUGCAAAGCCAAGGAGCAACAUCACAAAGGAUAGCUUACCCUCCUGAUGGAAGUGAUGUCCUCUAAGAUGUCUGGGAGCAAUCUGGAGACCAAGGGAAAUGAGGCCAGAUUAAUGAGUAGACAGAAGCAAGGAAGAGCAGGAGAGCAGUCAUGGCAUGACCCAGGGCUGGAGGGUCUCUACAGAAGGAAGAUAUUGGCUGUUUGACUGACACAGGUAUGGAUCCCUAAUAAACACCUUGUAUCCUAGACUCUGCCUCAGUGUCUGCCUCCAAAAGGCUCUUCAGUGCAUACUGUGGUGGGAAGGGAACUUUCAGAUCCUGAUUGAGCAAGAGAUAAGAAAACAUAGGCAGAGCAGAGCAAUGUUCAGCCCAUGACGUCCAGCUGUAUAACAAUCCCCAGGGCACCUUGGAAGUCAUACAUGAAGAUAGAAGACCCUCCACCAACCCAAGUAUCUGAAUAGAGGAGAGGCAACUGGUCACCUUGAGCACAAGACGUAUAAUGUUACAAGGGAAAUAAACUUCCUAUUAUUCAGGGAAUCUAUUGGUUGCUAAGGCUUUGAACUGGCUCUACUACAAAAUCAAGCCAUAGCUAUAGCCAUGGAAUCGGUAAUGGUGGGGCAGAAAGGAAGUUUGAAGGUCAUCUCAGCUCCCAUGAUUUACAAAUGAGAAGACUGAUGCAAGGCUCAGAGAUGACAUCACUUCCCCAAGUUCACACAGCCACCUAGUGGCAGCGUCUGGGGCUUCUGACCUGGUGUUCAAAGAGCUUUGUACCACAGCAGGACUUCCUUAAGUCUUGGAACCAGAUAGUACCUGCUCAGAAUGGCCCAUCAUUGCCUGCAGAGUGCAGAGGCAGCCAGGAAAUCCAUUCUGCCAGGAAGUCUUUCCACCUUAGUCUGGAGAGAAUGGUGGAAGCCUCUCAUGAAUAUGGCACACUUAUUGAGUGCCUCGCUGGGGUUGUGCACUGGCUCAUCCUGCCUGCCCAUCAACACCUCAUGGGCAGCUUCCUGUCUCAGUUUAUCCAUUCCUUCCUAAUGCUGUCUGGGAUCACCUGCCAAGGUAAACUAUUUGUACUCAAAAAUCUUCUGUUUUGAGGUCUUUGUGGAAAACUCGCUUAAGACACAAAGCAUUUUUCAUGUGAGACAUUGUAAGUCAUGGGAAUGGGAUUAUAAAUAUUCCUCCUUUUGGCCUAGGGGAUCAAGAAUAAAAUCAGAUGAGAAGGAGAACUUUCACAUUUCUGUGUGAAAUACGGGGAUUUCCAGGGACCGGCAGGAAGGCAGAUAUGGGACCUGGUGGUUCUGGUGAGUGGCUGCUUAGGGAAAAAGCUGAGAAACAGCCCUCCCUUGACCUCCCCACCAGGGAAACCAGCUGCAGUGACUGAAGUAAGAUGUUGCUGUCAAGCUGCUAUGUACAUACAACAGGCAUCAACAUGGAUGAUGGAGCCUGAGAGGAAUGGUCUGUACUGCCAUAUGAAAAACUCUCAGUGGCUCUCAGAAAAUAAGUUGGGGAAAAUUUUAUGUUGGGAGAUGUGAUAGUUAAGGUGCUAAACUAUACAAGAAACGGCACUGAAUCAGUUCAAUCUGAGCUAGUAAUUUGUCUCAUUCAUACCCAUAAACUUGUCAGAAAUAUUUCUAAUAUUUCUUCAAUUCAA